This is a long non-coding RNA of Pyrgilauda ruficollis (rufous-necked snowfinch), 511 nucleotides long. RefSeq lists it as uncharacterized. The record is from RefSeq and is a predicted model, not a curated record. The transcript has 3 exons. Lineage: Eukaryota; Metazoa; Chordata; Aves; Passeriformes; Passeridae.
UUCCACUCAGUUAAUUCAAAAGAAUUAAGUUUCAGAACCAGGCAGAAAGUCAAGACCUCAUUUUUAGCAAAGUAGAAGCGGCACAUUUUUAAACGCAGCCUGUUUGGAAUAACUUCGGAAUAGCAACCAUCACUGGGAAGUUAUUGAAUACCAUCAUCCCCUGGCCAGCAACUUGUGCCACACGCAGACCUCAUGACAGAGCGACGACAAAAAUGCCAGGGCUAAUUUCUACAGCGCGUUGCAUCAAUCCAGACAGCAAACCGAGUAAGGAAUGUGUCAGGGACUACGAGAACGUUCCCAUUCCUUGUGUUUCUAUGUGAAAUGCAUUUCUAGCCACACCCAGAAAGAACUUGUCUCUCCAGACACUACGCAGUGGGACCUUUCUUUAGGUAAUUACUGAAGCAGCUGAAAAUAUGGGGAAAUGAAGCAAAUACAGGCCCUGAUCCAAAAGCCACUGAACUCAGCAGAAGCACUGGAGUCAUGUGUCAUGAAUUACAAUUCACAAAUGCAA